UGGGGAAUAUUGGGCAAUGGGCGAAAGCCUGACCCAGCAACGCCGCGUGAGGGAAGAAGGUCUUCGGAUUGUAAACCUCUGUCCUUGGGGACGAAAAAAAUGACGGUACCCAAGGAGGAAGCCCCGGCUAACUACGUGCCAGCAGCCGCGGUAAUACGUAGGGGGCGAGCGUUGUCCGGAAUUACUGGGCGUAAAGGGUGCGUAGGCGGUUUUUUAAGUCAGAUGUGAAAUCCCCGGGCUUAACUCGGGUGGUGCAUUUGAAACUGGGAGGCUAGAGUGUAGGAGAGGGAAGCGGAAUUCCUAGUGUAGCGGUGAAAUGCGUAGAUAUUAGGAGGAACACCAGUGGCGAAGGCGGCUUUCUGGACUGUAACUGACGCUGAGGCACGAAAGCGUGGGGAGCAAACA
This 405-nucleotide ribosomal RNA is filed under the name uncultured prokaryote. Its description in RNAcentral is "bacterial SSU rRNA". It matches the Rfam family "Bacterial small subunit ribosomal RNA", at positions 355 to 774 of the family's 1533-position model. The record is from RNAcentral.